Molecule: ribosomal RNA, 801 nt
Filed under: Treponema sp.
Lineage: Bacteria; Pseudomonadati; Spirochaetota; Spirochaetia; Treponematales; Treponemataceae
Description: bacterial SSU rRNA
Rfam family: Bacterial small subunit ribosomal RNA
Source: RNAcentral
AUCAUGGAUAGUUUGAUCCGGGCUCAGAACGAACGCUGGCGGCGCGUCUUAAGCAUGCAAGUCGAGCGGCAAGGAAGAAGCUUGCUUUUUCCCUAGAGCGGCGGACUGGUGAGUAACGCGUGGGUGACGUACCCUCCGGACGGGGACAGCCUGUGGAAACACAGGAUAAUACCGGAUACGGUGCAUGUUGUCAGAGGACAUGCAGGAAAGGUUCUUUUGAACCGCCGGAGGAGCGGCCCGCGUACUAUUAGCUAGUUGGUGAGGUAACGGCCCACCAAGGCAGUGAUAGUUACCCGGCCUAAGAGGGUGGACGGGCACAUUGGGACUGAGAUACGGCCCAGACUCCUACGGGAGGCAGCAGCUAAGAAUAUUCCGCAAUGGACGAAAGUCUGACGGAGCGACGCCGCGUGGACGAAGAAGGCCGGAAGGUUGUAAAGUCCUUUUAUGACCGAGGAAUAAGGAGAAUGAGAGAAACGUUUUCCGGUGACGGUAGGUCAUGAAUAAGCAACGGCUAAUUACGUGCCAGCAGCCGCGGUAACACGUAAGUUGCGAGCGUUGUUCGGAAUUAUUGGGCGUAAAGGGCAUGUAGGCGGUAAUGCAAGUCUGGUGUGAAAUGCCGGGGCUCAACCCCGGAACAGCGUUGGAAACUGCAUUGCUUGAGUCACUGAGGGGCAGGCAGAAUUCCUGGUGUAGGGGUGAAAUCUGUAGAUAUCAGGAAGAAUACCGAUGGCGAAGGCAGCCUGCCAGCGGAUGACUGACGCUGAGGUGCGAAGGUGCGGGGAGCGAACAGGAUUAGAUACC